UGCGGAAGGAUCAUUAUUGAAUAAACUUGACGUGGUUGUAGCUGAUCUUUUCGAAGAUAUGUGCUCGCCUGUCACCUUUAUCUUUCCACCUGUGCACCUUUUGUAGACUUAGAUGUAACCUUUUUCCGAGGCAACUCGGGGUUGGGAGGAAUGCUUUUAUAAGGCUUUCCUUGUGCAUCCUAGUCUAUGUUUUAUAUACUCCAAACAUGUAACAGAAUGUAUCAUUGGGCUUUGUGCCUAUAAAACUAUAUACAACUUUCAGCAACGGAUCUCUUGGCUCUCGCAUCGAUGAAGAACGCAGCGAAAUGCGAUAAGUAAUGUGAAUUGCAGAAUUCAGUGAAUCAUCGAAUCUUUGAACGCACCUUGCGCUCCUUGGUAUUCCGAGGAGCAUGCCUGUUUGAGUGUCAUUAAAUUCUCAACCUUUAUUAGCUUUCGCAAGCUUGGUAAAGGAUUGGAUGUGAGGGCUUAUGCUGGCUUCGAAAGAUGUCUGCUCCCUUCAAAUAUAUUAGCUGGUGCCCGUGCGGAACCGUCUAUUGGUGUGAUAAUUAUCUACGCUAUUAGACAUCUGCAUUAAAUGGGUUAUACUGCUUCUAACUGUCUAUUUAAUUAGACAAUACAUGACUAUUUGACCUCAAAUCAGGUAGGACUACCCGCUGAACUUA
RNAcentral lists this ribosomal RNA (662 nucleotides) under Gymnopilus picreus. RNAcentral describes it as "eukaryotic LSU rRNA". The stretch from base 254 to 407 matches the Rfam family "5.8S ribosomal RNA". Lineage: Eukaryota; Fungi; Basidiomycota; Agaricomycetes; Agaricales; Galerinaceae. The record is from RNAcentral.